Molecule: ribosomal RNA, 601 nt
Filed under: Coelogorgia palmosa
Lineage: Eukaryota; Metazoa; Cnidaria; Anthozoa; Malacalcyonacea; Coelogorgiidae
Description: partial 18S ribosomal RNA
Source: RNAcentral
UUACCGCGGCGGCUGGCACCAGACUUGCCCUCCAAUUGGUCCUCGUUAAGAAAUUUAAAUUGUACUCAUUCCAAUUUACAAGACUACAAAAAAGCCCUGUAUUGUUAUUUUUUGUCACUACCUCCCCACGUCGGGAAUGGGUAAUUUGCGUGCCUGCUGCCUUCCAUGGAUGUGGUAGCCGUUUCUCAGGCUCCCUCUCCGGAAUCGAACCCUAAUUCUCCGUCACCCGUUGCAACCAUGGUAAGCCACUACCUUACCAUCGACAAUUGAUAGGGGAGAAAUUUGAAUGAAACAUCGCCGGCACAAAGGAAAGGCCAUGCGAUUCGAACAGUUACUAUGAAUCAUCAAUUGGUUGAGCGGCCGUGAAGACGCAUUGGUUUUUAAUCUAAAAAAUACAUCCCUUCCACAAAAGUCGGGACUUUUCGCAUGUAUUAGCUCUAGAAUUACUACGGUUAUCCAAGUAGUAAGAGAGUACAAUCAAAUAAAUGAUAACUGAUUUAAUGAGCCAUUCGCAGUUUCACAGUACAAGUGCUUAAUACUUAGAACAUGCGUGGCUUAAUCUUUGAGAUAAGCAUAUGAUACUGGCAGGAUCAACCAGGUU